UACGUAGGUGGCAAGCGUUGUCCGGAAUUAUUGGGCGUAAAGCGCGCGCAGGCGGUCCUUUAAGUCUGAUGUGAAAGCCCACGGCUCAACCGUGGAGGGUCAUUGGAAACUGGGGGACUUGAGUACAGAAGAGAAAAGUGGAAUUCCACGUGUAGCGGUGAAAUGCGUAGAGAUGUGGAGGAACACCAGUGGCGAAGGCGACUUUCUGGUCUGUAACUGACGCUGAGGCGCGAAAGCGUGGGGAGCAAACAGG
This 253-nucleotide ribosomal RNA is filed under the name uncultured bacterium. Its description in RNAcentral is "partial 16S ribosomal RNA". It matches the Rfam family "Bacterial small subunit ribosomal RNA", at positions 524 to 776 of the family's 1533-position model. The record is from RNAcentral.